CUGCUGCCUCCCGUAGGAGUUUGGACCGUGUCUCAGUUCCAAUNUGGGGGACCUUCCCUC
Molecule: ribosomal RNA, 60 nt
Filed under: uncultured bacterium
Lineage: Bacteria
Description: partial 16S ribosomal RNA
Source: RNAcentral